This 1306-nucleotide ribosomal RNA is filed under the name uncultured bacterium. RNAcentral describes it as "bacterial SSU rRNA". It matches the Rfam family "Bacterial small subunit ribosomal RNA", at positions 28 to 1381 of the family's 1533-position model. The record is from RNAcentral.
AACGUACGCUGGCGGCACGCCUAACACAUGCAAGUCGAACGAAGUAGCAAUACUUAGUGGCAGACGGGUGAGUAACAUGUAGGUAUCUGCCCUUUGGCCUGGAAUAACACGAGGAAACUUGUGCUAAUACCGGAUAAGUCUUUACAGAGAAAGCUUUAUGCACCAUUGGAUGAGCCUGCACUUGAUUAGUUUGUUGGUGGGGUAAUGGCCUACCAAGACUGUGAUCAAUAGCUGAUUUGAGAGGAUGAUCAGCCACAUUGGGACUGAGACACGGCCCAAACUCCUACGGGAGGCAGCAGUGGGGAAUCUUGCACAAUGGAGGAAACUCUGAUGCGGCGAUGCCGCGUGAGUGAAGAAGGCCCUUGGGUUGUAAAGCUCUUUCGUCGGGGAAGAAAAUGACUGUACCCGAAUAAGAAGGUCCGGCUAACUUCGUGCCAGCAGCCGCGGUAAUACGAAGGGACCUAGCGUAGUUCGGAAUUACUGGGCUUAAAGAGUUCGUAGGUGGUUGAAAAAGUUAGUGGUGAAAUCCCAGAGCUUAACUCUGGAACUGCCAUUAAAACUUUUCAGCUAGAGUAUGAUAGAGGAAAGCAGAAUUUCUAGUGUAGAGGUGAAAUUCGUAGAUAUUAGAAAGAAUACCAAUUGCGAAGGCAGCUUUCUGGAUCAUUACUGACACUGAGGAACGAAAGCAUGGGUAGCGAAGAGGAUUAGAUACCCUCGUAGCCCAUGCCGUAAACGAUGUGUGUUAGACGUUGGAAAUUUAUUUUCAGUGUCGCAGGGAAACCGAUAAACACACCGCCUGGGGAGUACGACCGCAAGGUUAAAACUCAAAUGAAUUGACGGGGACCCGCACAAGUAGUGGAGCAUGUGGUUUAAUUCGAAGAUACGCGCAGAACCUUACCAACACUUGACAUGUUCGUCGCGACUCUAAGAGAUUAGAGUUUUCGGUUCGGCCGGACGAAACACAGGUGCUGCAUGGCUGUCGUCAGCUCGUGUCGUGAGAUGUUGGGUUAAGUCCCGCAACGAGCGCAACCCUCACUUUUAGUUGCCAUCAUUAAGUUGGGCACUCUGAAAGAACUGCCAGUGAUAAGCUGGAGGAAGGUGGGGAUGACGUCAAGUCCUCAUGGCCCUUACGUGUUGGGCUACACACGUGCUACAAUGGUAUCUACAACAGGAAGCAAGACUGCGAAGUUAAGCAAAUCCCUAAAAGAUACCUCAGUUCGGAUUGCACUCUGCAACUCGAGUGCAUGAAGCUGGAAUUACUAGUAAUCGUGGAUCAGCGUGCCACGGUGAAUGCGUUCCCGGGUCU